UUGCACCUGAGUGACGACGCCCA
Molecule: non-coding RNA, 23 nt
Filed under: Mus musculus (house mouse)
Lineage: Eukaryota; Metazoa; Chordata; Mammalia; Rodentia; Muridae
Source: RNAcentral